Oreochromis niloticus (Nile tilapia) is the source of this 325-nucleotide long non-coding RNA. RefSeq lists it as uncharacterized. Lineage: Eukaryota; Metazoa; Chordata; Actinopteri; Cichliformes; Cichlidae. The record is from RefSeq and is a predicted model, not a curated record. The transcript has 2 exons.
CUGAACCCUUGUUUACAGGCGCCUUCAGGCCUGGUGGGUGUGGCCCUGCUAGGGGACUGGCCACACCCGAAGCCACGCACCUGCUGCUGAUCAGGCCUCGUCGGGGGAGAGUCUUGGAGCUCCCACCGACGCGGGAUCAUUGCGUUAGACUCCCAAGAGGAACGUGGAGAGGAAGGGCAGCACGCACAGGGUGUGCACAGUCACGACAGCAGGGAGCACGAACACGGACACCACUGGAAGACACGCACGGGAGUCUUGGGGAGCACGGGGAUUAAUUGUGCAUCAUUAUUUACCACAUUGUAAAUAAACGCACUGUUGUUAUUCA